RNAcentral lists this long non-coding RNA (9823 nucleotides) under Homo sapiens (human). RNAcentral's name for it is "PREDICTED lncRNA (TCONS_00101121)". The record is from RNAcentral. Lineage: Eukaryota; Metazoa; Chordata; Mammalia; Primates; Hominidae.
ACUGGAAUUACUGUAUACAUGCGGGACUUAGGAAUCUGUGUUUUGACCAAGAGGCCAGGUGAUUCUUCUGCUCAGUUAGUGCUGGGAAACAGUGCUAAGAAGGAUACAGUGGCUAGAAGUCGUCCUGUCGUCCUGCCUCACAGUAACAUCGUUACCGAAUUCUCAGCAGGUGAACCAAAUGAAAUGGUCAACUGAAAGCCAACCAGGCAAAAAAUCACCAUGUACCAACCUAUCCAAACUUAUCCAUGGAUGAAUCUAUCCAGAAGACGGGAGUUCCGAUGCUUGUCUUGCUCUGAAUGUCUGCUUGUCACCUGCUUAGGGUUAUCGACUGUGAUUCUGGGACUCAUUGUUGUUCUACAGGACCCCUCUGACUCUGUGGUUUUCUCUACUGGAUUAACAAUGAUAGCCAUAGGUGCUUUUUUUGUUGUCCUCACUGGAGUGACAGCCCUGUGUACGGUUACAGUCGACGAGAACUUGCAGAAAACCACGAGGCUAAGACUAGGAGUGAUACGAAAAAGCGGAAGUCUCCAAGGAACUACAGAGCCUUCCAUGACUCACUCAAUAAUCGCUAGCACCUCGCUGUAGUUGUACAUUGAACCCUGGCAUCUUCGUCUUUGGAACUAAGUCUCCUGAGCAUUGUUUUUAAAUAGAAAUAAAAUCUGGCUUUUAAAAAAACUCUUGUAAUCCCAGCAGUUUGGGAGGCCAAGGUGGGUGGAUCACAAGGCUGGUCUUGACGUCCUGACCUCAAGUGAUCCACCUGCCUUGGCCUCCCAAAGUGUGAGCCGAUGCCAUCCUUGUGUGUGUGUGUGUGUGUGUGUGUGUGUGUCGUUUUUUUGUUUUGUUUUGUUUUGUUUUUUGAGACAGAGUCUCACUCUGUAGCCCAGGCUGGAGUGCAGUGGUGCAAUCUCAGCUUACUUCAGGCUCUGCCUCUUGGGUUCAAGGGAUUCUCUUGCCUCAGCCUCCUGAGUAGCUGGGAUUACAGGUGUGAGCCCCCACACCAGGCUAAUGUUUGGAUUUGUAGUAGAGACAAGGUUUUGCCUUGUUGUCCAGGCUGGUCUCAAACUCCUGACCUCAGGUAAUCUGCCUGCCUUUGCCUCCCAAAGUGCUGGGAUUACAGGCGUGAGCCGUCAUCUCUUGCCCGGUAACAUCCUUUAUAAUAAACCAGUAAAUGUGUUUCCCUGGGUUCUCUAAGCUGCAUUAGCAAUUAAAUGAACCCAAAGAGAGGGUUGUGGGAACACCAAGUUGAAACAAGUCAGAAGUUCUGGAGGCUCAGAUUUGUGACUGGUGGGAAGGGAGAGGGCUGCUUGGUGGGAGUGAGCCCUCAGUUGUGGGGCCUGAUGCUGUAUCAGUGAGGUAGAUACUGUCAGAAUUGAGGCUGGGCGUGGUGCCUCAUGCCUGUAAUCCCAGCACUUUGGGAGGCCAAGGCAGGUAGAUUGCUUGAGUUCAGGAGUUCGAGACUAGCCUGGUUAACAUGGCAAAAGCCUGUCUCUAUAAAAAAUACAAAAACAGGCCAGGUGCUGUGGCUCACGCCUGUAAUCCAGCACUUUGGGAGGCCGAGGCGGGCAGAUCACUUGCGCUCAGGAGUUUCAGACCAGCCUGGCCAACAUGGUGAAACCCUGUCUCUACUAAAAAUACAAAAAUUAUCAAAGCAUGGCGGUGUGUCCCUGUAGUCCCAGCUACUCAGAAGGCAGAGGCAAGAAAAUAGCUUGAACCUGGGAUGUGGAGGCUGCAGUGAACCUAGACCGCGCCAUUGCACUCCAGCCUGGGUGACAGAACAAGACUCCGUCUCAAAAAAAGAAAAACAAAACAAAACAAACAAAAACAGCCAGGCAUGAUAGCACUUGCCUGUGGUCCAGCUACUUGGAAAGCUGAGGUGGGUGGAUCACUUUGAGUCUGAGAGGUUGAGAUUGAGCCACUGCACUCCAGCCUGUGCAACAGAGCUAGACCUUGUUUAAAAGGAAAAAAAAAAAUGCCGGGUGCAGUGGCUCAUGCCUGUAAUCCCAGAACUUUGGGAGGCCAAGGAGGGUGGAUCACGUGAGGUCAGAAGUUCAAGACCAGCCUGGACAACAUGGUGAAACCCUGUCUCUACUAAAAAUACAACAAUUACCCGGGCAUGGUAGCAGGCACCUGUAAUCCCAGCUAUUCAGGAGGCUGAGGCAGGAGAAUCACUUCAACCCGGGAGGCGGAUGUUGCAGUGAGCCGAGAUCACACCAUGGCACUCCAGCCUGGGCUACAGAGACUCUGUGUCCCCCCAACCAAAAAAAAAAAAAAAAGUCGGAGGACACCCAGCAGAUGUCUGAUGUAGAAUUGAUUGGUUGCUUGGUGUGUGGGGAGAAAUCCCUACACAUUUGGUUACAGAAGUCUUCUGUGUCAUUGUUGUCGUGGUGUUUUUCCCUUCAGUGACCACGCUGUCCAAAGUGAUCUACAGAUUCAUUUCAAUCCCUAUCAAAAUACCAAUGACAUUUUCAGAGAUAGAAAAAAAAAUCCUAAAAUUCAUGUGGAACCAAAGUGAGCCCAAAUAUCCAAAGUAAUCCUGAGCAAAAGAAGAAAGCUAGGCCGGGCACGGUGGCUCACGCCUGUAAUCCCAACACUUUGGGAGGCUGAGGCGAGUGGAUCGCCUGAGGUCAGGGCUUUGAGACCAGUCUGGCCAACAUGACGAAACCCCGUCUCUACUAAAAAUACUAAAAUUAGCUGGGCGUGGUGGCAGGAGCCUGUAAUCCCAGCUAUUCGGGAGGCUGAGGCAGGAGAAUCACUUGAACCUGGGAGGCAGAGGUUGCAAUGAGCCAAGGUCGCACCAUUGCACUCCAGCCUGGAUGACAAGAACGAGACUUCGUCUCAAAAAAAAAAAAAAAGAAGAAAAUGGCUGGAUGCAGCGGCUCAUGCCUGUAAUCCCAGCACUCUGGAGGGCCGAAGCAGAUGGAUCACCUGAGGUCAGUAGUUCAAGACCAGCCUGACCAACAUUGAGAAACCCCAUUUCUACUAAAAAUACAAAAUUAGCUGGGCGUGGCAGCACAUGCCUGUAAUCCCAGCUACUUGGGAGACUGAGGCAGGAGAAUUGCUUGAAUCUGGAAGGCGGAAGUUGUGGUGAGCCGAGAUUGCACCAUUGCACUCCACCCUGAGCAACAAGAGUGAAACUCUCUCUCUCUCACACACACACACACAGACACACACACACACACACACAAAGCUAGAGGCCUCAUGUGGUCACUCACACCAGUAAUCCCAGCAUUUUGGGAGUCCAUGGUGGCUAGAUCACUUGAGGUCAGGAGUUCGAGACCUGCCUGGCAAAACCUCAUCUCUACAAAAAAAAGUACAAGAAAUCAGUUGGGGGCUGGGUGUGGUGGCUCACGCUUGUAAUCCCAGCACUUUAGGAGGCCAAGGCCGGUGGAUCUCCUGAAGUCAGGGGUUUGAGACCAGCCUGGCCAACAUGACAAAACCCUGUCUCUACUAAAAAUACAAAAAAAAAAUUAGCCAGGUGUGGCAUGUCUGUAGUCCCAGAUACUCAGGAGGCUGAAGCAGGAGAACUGCUUGAACCUGGGAGGCAGAGAUUGCAGCGAGCCGUGAUCACGCCACUGCACUCCAGACUCCAGCCUGGGUGACAGAGUGAGACGCUGUCUCAAAAAAAAAAAAAAAAUUGGGUGUUGCGUUGUGUCCCUGUAGUUCCAUCCACCCAGGAGGCUGAGGUGGGAGGAUCAUUCGAGCUGUGAGCUGGGAGGUCGAGGCUGCAGUGAGUCAUGAUGGCACCACUCUAGCCUGGGCAACAAGAUUUGUUUCAACAAAACUGUAAGUUGUAGAAUGCUGAGAUUCAUUUUGCUUUAUUACAAAACUAAGAAUUUCUAGUUGGUUGUUGAAUUUAAUAUUAUUUAACCACCAAAGAAAGAGAUUCUUGUUGGCCUGAUACAUCUUCCUUGAUAUGUCAAAGUGUUUUUGUCACAAAGGAGAGCAGGUAUAACUGUGAAAACUGCAUUACAUCUAUAGACUGUACCAAUGUCACUUUCUUGGUUUUGAUAUUUAAUACGUUAACAUUGGGGGAGGCUGAGAGAAGGGUCCGUGGAACUUCCCUAUACAUUUCUUGGGACCCUCUGAUGAAUCUAUAAUCAUCUCAAAAUGAAAAGUUAAACACAUUUUAGUUUCACAAAACUAUGUAAAUGAAACAGAAUACCCAAUGUUGAUUUUUGUAAUUGUGUUACAUUUGAAAGGGAACGCAAAAUGUGAUUGUAAUGAUAAGAACUAGCCACAAGUUGUCACUAGUGGUCUAUCAUAGCCCUCUGAAACUCACAACACCCACCCCCCCGCCACGCCCCCCGCCACCCUCAAAACGAGAAUUGUUUUGAUGAAGAAAGGACGUGACUUUUUUUUUUUUUUUUUUUUUUUUUUUGAGACAGAGUCUCACUCUGUUGCCCAGGCUGGAGUGCAGUGCCACGAUCUCGGCUCACUGCAACCUCUGUCUCCCAGGUUCAAGUGAUCCUCCAGCCUCAGCCCCCGAGUAGCUGGAUUACUGGUACAUGCCACAACGCCCGACUGAUUUUUUUAUUUUCAGUAGAGAUGGGAUUUCGCCAUGUUGGCCAGGCUGGUCUCAAACUCCUGACCUCAGGUGAUCCACCCAUCUCGGCCUCCCAAAGUGCUGGGAUUACAGGCAUGAGGCACCACGCCUGGCUGGAUGUGGCUAUUUUUAAACUGCCAUAUUUAACCAUUGCUGUUUUUCUGUUUGGAAGCACUGUAAAAUCCCAAUAUCGUAUUCUUUUUUUUUUUUUUUUGAGAUGGAGUCUUGCUCUGUCACCGAGGCUGGAGUGCAGUGGCGCGAUGCAACCUCUGCCACCCAGGUUCAAGUGAUUCUCCUGCCUCAGCCUCCCGAGUAGCUGGGAUUACAGGUGCCUGCCACUACACCCGGCUAAUUUUUGUAGUUUUAGUAGGGACGGAGUUUCACCAUGUUGGUCAGGCUGGUCUUGAACUCCUGUCCUCAAGCAAUCUACCUGCCUCGGCCUCCUAAAGUGCUGAGAUUACAAGCAUUAGUCACCGCGCCCUGUUUAUCUUAUUCUUUUAUAGGUGAAAAUACAGAAACCAUAAGAAAGGGAAUAGGGUUUUUUUGUUGUCGUUUUUGAGACAAGAGUCUCCCUCUAUCGCCCAGGCUGCGGUGCAGUGGCGCGAUCUCGGCUCACUGCAAGCUCCGCCUCCCGGGUACACGCCAUUCUCCUGCCUCAGCCUCCCGAGUAGCUGGGACUACAGGUGCUCACCACCACGCCCAGCUGAUUUUUUUGUAUUUUUUUUAAUAGAGGCGGGGUUUCACCGUGUUAGCCAGGAUGGUCUCAAUCUCCUGACCUCGUGAUCCACCAGUCUCAGCCUCCCAAACUGCUGGGAUUACAGGUGUGAGCCACUGCACCUGGCCGCAGGAAUAGGGUUUAAAGGUGGCAAAUUAGACAUUCUCUAGAGGAACGUCACUUCUCAAAGUGUGGCUCCUGGAGCAGCAGCACUGGCAGGGCCUAACAAUUUGUAAGAAGUGCAAAACCUCAGGCCUCACCCUAAACCUACCAAAUUAGAUUCUUCUUCUUUUAUAUUUUUGAGGUGGAGUCGCACUCUGUUACCCAGGCCAGAGUGCAGUGCGGUGAUUUUGGCUCAAUGCAACCUCUGCCUCCUAGGUUCAAGUGAUUCUCCUGCCUCAGCCUCCCAAGUAGCUGGGAUUACAGGUGUGGGCCACCACGCCCGGCUAACUUCUGUAUUUUUAGUAGAUACGGGGUUUUAUCAUGAUGGCCAGGCUGGUCUCGAACUCCUGACCUCAGGUGAUCCACCUGCCUUGGCGUAAUCCCAGUGCAGGGAUUACAGGUGUGAGCCACCAUGACCAGCCAGAUUCUUCACCUUUUUGGUGUGUGUGUGUAUGUGUGUGUGUGAGAUGGUGUCUUGCUCUUGUCGCCCAGGCUGGAGCACAAUGGCACAAUCUCGGCUCACUACAACCUCUGCCUCCCAGGUUCAAGCACUUCUCCUGCCUCAGCCUCCCAAGUAGCUGGGAUUACAGGCGCCAGCCACCACGCCCGGCUGAUUUUUAUAUUUUUAGUAGAGAUGGGGUUUCACCAUGUUGGCCAGGCUGGUCUCGAACUCCUGACGUCAGGUGAUCUGUCUGCCUCGGCCUCCCAAAGUACUGGGAUUACAGGCAUGAGCCACUGCACCCAGCCCUGAAUUUGAUUCUUCUUCUUUUUUUUUUUUUGAGACGGAGUCUCACUCUGUUGCCCAGGCUGGAGUGCAGUGACGUGAUCUCCGCUCACUGCAAACUCCGCCUCCCGGGUUCACGCUGUUCUCCUGCCUCAGCCUCCCGACUAGCUGGGACAACAGGCACCCACCACCACACCCGGCUAAUUUUUUGUAUUUUUUAGUAGAGAUGGGGUUUCACCCUGUUAGCUAGGAUGGUCUUGAUCUCCUGACCUCGUGAUCCACCCGCCUUGGCCUCCCAAAGUGCUGGGAUUACAGGAGUGAGCCACUGCGCCUGGCCACCACAUGGACAUCUUUGAGGAUCAUCUUUCAAUACCCCUUAGUCUCUGUGUUGUAGAACAGCAGCUAUCAAGGAGCAUUGUUCUUUUUUUUUUUUUUUUUUUUUUUUUUUUUUGAUCCAGAGUCUGGCUGUGUUGCCCAGGCUGGAGUGCAGUGGCCAAUCUCAGCUCACUGCAACCUCUGCCUCCUGGGUUCAAGUGAUUCUCCUCCCUCAGCCUCCCGUGUAGCUGAGGUUACAGGUGCAUGCCACUACACCUGGGUAAUUUUUGUAUUUUUGGUAGAGAUGGGGUUACACCGUGUUGGCCAGGUUGGUCUCGAACUCCUGGCCUCAAGUGAUCUGCCCACCCUGGCCUCCCAAAGUGCUGGGAUUACAGGUGUGAGCCACCGUGCCUGGCCUUAACAUAACUGUUUACAACAAAACUGUAUAACCUGCCCGUCCUGCCUGGAUGAUUGAUUCAGGAUGCUUAUGUUGAUGCAGGAGAAUGGGGUCUGGAGGCAGGGAACCUAAAAACUUCCUAGAACUAGGCCGAGUGCAGUGGCUCACACCUGUAAUCCCAGCACGUUGGGAUGCCGGGGCCGGUGGAUCACCUGAGAUCAGGAGUUCGAGGCCACCCUGGCCAACAUGGUGAAAUUCUAUCUCUAUUAAAAAUAGAAAAAUUAGCUUGGUGUGGUGGUGAGCACCUGUAAUCCCAGCUACUUGGGAGGCUGAGGCAGGAAAAUCGCUUGAACCUGGGAGGCAGAGGUUGCAGUGAGCCAAGAUCCUACCACUGCACUACAGCCUGGGCAACAAAGUGAGACUCUGUUUUAAUAAAUAAACAAACAAACAUACAUACUUCCUAGAACUCAAUAAAAGGGAAAAACCCCAAUUAACUGUCUUUUUUUUUUUCUAGAUGGAGUUCAGUGGCCUGAUCUUGGCUCACUGCAACUUCCGCCUCCCGGGUUCAAGCAAUUCUCCUGCCUCAGCCUCCCAAGUAGCUGGGAUUACAGGCACCCCCCACCAUGCUAGGCUAAUUUUUGUAUUUUUAGUAGAGACGGAGUUUCACUAUGUUGGCCAAAGGUCCGCCCACCUCCGCCUCCGAAAGUGUUUGGAUUACAGGCAUGAGCCCUCCCCGCUCUCCCACCUCCAGGCCAAAACCCCAACUUUCUAUGCCCAACUAAAUAACUUUGUAACUUCACUUCAGCUAUGGCAGGAAACAUCCUCUUCAUUUCCAUGGGGUGUAUGCCAAGUAAAUAACUUUGUAACUUCACUUACCCUCUUCAUUUACAUAGGGCAUACCAAUGGGAAACCUCUGAAGGGUAUUUAAACCCCAGAAAAUUCUGUAACCAGCAUUGUUGAGUCACUUCCUCUAACCUGCUCCCUACUCUGUGGAGUGUACUUUCGUUUCAAUAAAUCUGUGCUUUUCUUUCAUUGCUUUGUGCGUUUCGUCCAAUUCUUUUUUCAAAACGUCAAGAACCUGGACACCCUCCACCCGUAACAGUGUGACACAGUUCUGGCCAGAGUCAGGUCCAGGUUUUACGGAAGUAUUUGUAAGAGCAAGGCUUUGUGGGAGUUGCUGAGAAAAGACCACCUAAGCCUGGAACUGCUGGCAGUUACGUUGCCGCAAGGGGUGAGUCUGCCUGAGAAUGGAAAGCAGAACUGACAGAAGGAGAGAGAGUGCCUGAGUUUCUGAUGAUACUGACACGAACCUUACCUGGACAAUUAAGUUCUAUGAGCUCAUAAAUUUCCUUUCUUCCCCUUAGCCUUGUUUAAUUAGGGUUCACUACUUAACAGUCUCUUACAACUAAAAAAUUCUUUUUUUUUUUUUUUUUCAGAUGGAGUCUCGCUCUGUUGCCCAGGCUGGAGUACAGUGGUACAAUCUCAGCUCACCGCCAACCUCUGCUUUCCGGGUUCCACUGAUUCUCCUACCUCAGCCUCCCUGGUAGCUGGGAUUACAGGCGCCCACCACCAAGCCUGGCUAAUUUUUUGUAUUUUUAGUAGAGACAGUGUUUCACCAUGUCAGCUAGGCUGGUCUUGAACUCCUGACCUCAGAUGAUCCACCUGCCUUGGCCUCCCAAAGUGCUGGGAUUACAGGCGUGAGCCACCGCACCCAGCCAAAAAAUUCUUGACAUAUGCACUCAUAACACCUUGAAAGAAAAUACCAGUGAAGUGCUUGAAAGGGAACUGGUCCCCAAAGGGUAUUUGAAUCACUAAGACUUGGGCAAGAUUUGACUGCUUAGAUUUGAUAUAUGAUAUUCUAGUUCUAGGCCCGGGCGCAGUGGCUCACGCCUGUAAUCCCAGCACUUUGGGAGGCCGAGACAGGCGGAUCACGAGGUCAGAUCGAGACCAUCCUGGCUAACACAGUGAAACCCCAUCUCUACUAAAAAUACAAAACAUUAUCCGGGUGUGGUGGCGGGUACCUGUAGUCCCAGCUACUCGGGAGGCUGAGGCAGGAGAAUGGCGUGAACCCAGGAGGCGGAGCUUGCAGUGAGCUGAGAUCAUGCCACUGCAUUCCAGCGUGGGUGACAGAGCGAAACUCCGUCUCAAAAAAACAAAAAAAACACCAAAACUAGUUCGAAUCUGGUUAGAACAACUUUAUUGCUGGAUUUUGACAUCCUAGCAAAAAAGGUGCCAAACCAUUGUCAUACGUUUUGUGGAUACAUUUGCAUAUUUUAUUAUUAUCUUUUUUUGAGACAGUGUCUUGCUCUGUUGCCCAAGCUGGGAUGCAGUGGCACGAUCUCAGCUCACUGCAACCUCUGCCUCCCGGGUUCAAGUGAUUCUCCUGCCUCAGCCUCCUGAGUAGCUGGGAUUACAGGCGCACGCCACCACGCCUGACUAAUUUUUGUAUUUUUAGUAGAGACGGGGUUUCACCACGUUGGUCAGGCUGGUCUCGAACUCCUGACCUUGUGAUCUGCCCGCCUUGGCCUCCCAGUGUUAGGAUUACAGGCGUGAACCACCACACCUGGCCAAAUUAGCAGAUUUUAAAUCCUUUCGCUGAUCCAAGCUGGGAAAAAAGACUUCACUGAUACUGCAGAAGAGGUGGAAGAAACUAACAUUUGAACUGAGAAGCACUAAGAAAGCCACCCUGAACCCAAAAGUACUGAAAACCUAGUUAGAUAUAUUUUUGGGAAAAAAAAAAAAAGGAGAUCUAAGUGCAUCCUAUAAUAAAUUUAUAUGAAAUAUGUAUAUGAACAUUUUGUAUUUUUUCUUCCAAAAGGGAAUGCACGUGCACAAACACACACACAUGCAUGCUGAGAUAUUUAGUUCUCUGCACGUAUACACUUUUUUUUUUUUUUGAGACGGAGUCUUGCUCUGUUGUCCAGGCUGGAGUAUAGUGGGACGAUCUCGGCUCACUGCAAGCUCCAC